This 1007-nucleotide long non-coding RNA is filed under the name Coturnix japonica (Japanese quail). RNAcentral describes it as "lncRNA (ENSCJPG00005002899.1)". Lineage: Eukaryota; Metazoa; Chordata; Aves; Galliformes; Phasianidae. The record is from RNAcentral.
GAGAUGGGCGUGGCUUAAUGCGGGUUGCUGGGCGAGGCAGCCAAUCAGAGGGCGUGGUUUGGCUUUGAAGGGCGGGGCUGCAGCACAGUAGGCGGGGCUUCCUCUUAGUGGGCGUGGCCACACGGAAGGGGCGUGGCUUCCCGUUAGAGUAAGCGUGGCUUCUCAUUGGCUCACAUCCCCGCGGUGGGCGUGGCUUCCGCUCAGUGGGCGUGGCUUCCCUCGGUGGGCGUGGCUUCUCAUUGGCCCAUUCCGCUGUGGUGGGCGUGGCUUUCGAUUAUGUGGGCGUGGCUUCCGCUCAGUGGGCGUGGCUUCUCGUUGGCUCGUUCCCCUGUGGGGGCGUGGUUUCCUAUCAGUGGGCGUGGCUUCCCCUUUGUGGGCGUGGCUUCCUAUCGUUGGCCUGGCUUCUCAUUGGCUCAUUCCUCUGCGGUGGGCGUGGCUUCCUCUCGGUGGGCGUGGCUUCGCUCUGCCCGGCGCGCCUUCCUCCCCACGUGUUCAUUCCAUCCUCGCAGUGGGCGUGGCCACCUCCAAAAGGGGGCGUGGCCAACCCCAAAAAGGGGCGUGACCACACACAAAAGGGGCGUGGUCUCACCCAAAGGGGGCGUGGUUUCCCCCUAAGCCCCGCCCCCCGCCGUCCCGUCGCUCCACCUUAAGAGCAGCCGGUACCAUCGGCCGUUCGUCCUUAAGUCGCGGGCGGCGGCGUCGUGAGGAAGAGGAGGAGGAGGAGGAGAACGAAGGGGGGGGGGCGGGUCUUGGGGGGGCUAUGGCGGGUCCGCCGCCUCCACCGCCGGGCCCUGAGGCUCCUCGUUAUCAAGAGUGGAUUUUAGAUACCAUCGAUUCGUUACGUUCCCGUAAAGCCAGACCGGAUUUAGAAAGGAUUUGUCGGAUGGUUCGAAGAAGACACGGGCCGGAACCUGAAAGAACCAGGGUUGAAUUAGAGAAGCUGAUCCAACAACGAGCCGUUCUACGAGUCAGCUACAAGGGCAGCAUCUCGUACCGCAACGCGGCCA